Long non-coding RNA from Papaver somniferum (opium poppy), 1145 nucleotides. RefSeq lists it as uncharacterized. The record is from RefSeq and is a predicted model, not a curated record. The transcript has 10 exons. NCBI's taxonomy places the organism in Eukaryota, Viridiplantae, Streptophyta, Magnoliopsida, Ranunculales, Papaveraceae.
AGAGAGAACGAAACUCAGUUCUCUUUCAUCCUCUCACAGCCGCAACUCAAAUCCUUCUCUAACUCAUUUCUCUUAGGGUUUGAUAAUCAUGUCUAAUAAAAUACCAAAAUUUUAUUUUCUGUGUCACUAGAAAUAGAAGUGUAGGUGGUUAAUCAGGAAGUAGAAGAAGACAUGGGUUUGAAUCUGAACAAUCUUAGACUAGUGAAUCUCACAGUAUUGUUGUUGAAUAAAUAUUUACAAUAUCUUGUUUGAAGGAAUACGAUACAGGAUUCGAAAGGGUCUUUGCCAAUUUUCAGAAAUGGAGAUCUAAGAAUAGUUCCUGUUGCAGAUGAUGAGAUUAUGGAGGUUGAUGACUAUGAAUUCCCUGAUUAAAUCUCUUACUUCUGAUGUAGAAGAAUUUUUCAUGCAGUUGGAUCCUGGUUGUAGGGUUACUAUUGCACUCGAUGGCUAUGUUUGUUGAACCUGAUAAUGAUCCUCCUUAUAACUCAUAAGGUCGAAGGAGAACAAUACUGUGAAAGCAUUGCAGUGAAGGCGCAAAUUUGAGAAAAAUGCAUUGGAACACCAAGUGGUUAUUGAGUAGAAAUGUAACCAAGUACGAAGACGUGGAUUAGUUUAAUGCUCGUAUUCGGGUUCGUAAAUUUUAGGAAUGUUGAAGGCGAGGAAGAUAUCUGGGUUCGUAAAUUUCAAGUCGUUACUACUGAAUAUUUACACGAGGCGCCUGAUUUUGAUACAGGAUUCAAACUCUGCUACUUCUCCUGGUAGUGAUUCUGAUCAUGCUAGAGCUUCAUUUCCAGCGAGAGCAAAAAAGGAGUUGAUGGGUUCUGGGAGAAGCAUUAUUUGACCAUUAACAAAAUGGUGUAGGUGAUCUAAAUGAUGCAAAUCAACUUGUUAGUGGACUUGAUCAGGUUGAGCAGUGUUCUCUGCCUAAGCUACCUUCCAUUUGAGGUGGAUAGCCGACAAGAUGUGCAGGUACACCAUUAUGAAAUUUGGCCUAAGUUCAUCAUCAGCGGAGUUUAUCGGAUUGCUCUUUAGUCAAUCGUUUAUUAGUUUAUCAUUAUGUAACUGAAUCUUAGAAUUUGAUUACUUUUCUGGUUGUAAGAACUUAUAUUGGUCUGAACUUAAGAUUGUAUACCUUUCUUGUGUAA